GACAGAGGGUGCAAACGUUGUUCGGAAUUACUGGGCGUAAAGCGAGUGUAGGCGGUUUGGUAAGUCGGAUGUGAAAGCCCUGGGCUCAACCCAGGAAGUGCAUUCGAAACUGCAGAGCUGGAGUCCUGGAGAGGAAGGCGGAAUUCUCGGUGUAGAGGUGAAAUUCGUAGAUAUCGAGAGGAACACCGGUGGCGAAGGCGGCCUUCUGGACAGUGACUGACGCUGAGACGCGAAAGCGUGGGGAGCAAACAGG
RNAcentral lists this ribosomal RNA (253 nucleotides) under uncultured bacterium. RNAcentral's name for it is "partial 16S ribosomal RNA". It matches the Rfam family "Bacterial small subunit ribosomal RNA", at positions 524 to 776 of the family's 1533-position model. The record is from RNAcentral.